AGCGAACGCUGGCGGCAGGCUUAACACAUGCAAGUCGAACGCAUCCUUCGGGGUGAGUGGCAGACGGGUGAGUAACACGUGGGAACGUACCUUUUUGUUCGGAAUAACUCAGGGAAACUUGAGCUAAUACCGGAUACGCCCUUAGGGGGAAAGAUUUAUCGCAGAAAGAUCGGCCCGCGUCUGAUUAGCUAGUUGGUGAGGUAAAGGCUCACCAAGGCGACGAUCAGUAGCGGGUCUGAGAGGCUGAUCAGCCACACUGGGACUGAGACACGGCCCAGACUCCUACGGGAGGCAGCAGUGGGGAAUAUUGGACAAUGGGCGCAAGCCUGAUCCAGCCAUGCCGCGUGAGUGAUGAAGGCCCUAGGGUUGUAAAGCUCUUUCGGCGGGGACGAUAAUGACGGUACCCGCAGAAGAAGCCCCGGCUAACUUCGUGCCAGCCGCCGCAGUAA
This 449-nucleotide ribosomal RNA is filed under the name uncultured bacterium. Its description in RNAcentral is "partial 16S ribosomal RNA". It matches the Rfam family "Bacterial small subunit ribosomal RNA", at positions 29 to 523 of the family's 1533-position model. The record is from RNAcentral.